UUUUUUUCGCCUAAAUGAGUCCGGAAGCCUUCUUUAUCCAUUGAUUUGUCUCUCCAAUGAAUUUAACUUGUGAUAAUGUGAUCAUUCAGUUUUAAAUCGGUGACAAGCUUUAAAGAAGGAUAGAAACAGAAGAGAUUAACUUGAAAUAUAUAUCUUCUUGCACUCUCUCCAUGGUACAAAAGCCAGCUGAAGGAGUCUAACUGUGCACCAUUAGUUUUUACACAAAAUUUUUCUGCCCCGAUUAUUACCACAUUUUUUUCAUCGCUGCCUUCAAUCAUCAUUUCAUUCGUUACAUGAUGUUAAAUUAAAUUGAUUUUGGUGUCCAACUAUGGCCUACUAACUCAACAUUGUCACAAUUAUUAAACAUAUGGAGAUGCUUCGAAAGCUGGAUUUUGUGCCUCAACUUUUACUGUUUGCUGUAAUUUGAUGAACCAGUAACUUAGAUGAUAACCAUCUUGAUUGAAGACGAUGAAACAGAUAAUGAUGGAGCAGAUGAUGAAAAGUAAGCAAAAAAAAGCAAGAAAUUAAGAUAGACAGAUUACGGCUGAUUUGAUGACAAACCAUUCAGAUUCCAUGUUAAAUUGACAUUUCAAAAUAUUACCAUUUCCGUGGUUACUGACGAGGUGAGAGGAUCAAAUCAUUUAGGGAUGUAAAUUGUCCGUAAAAUUGUUCUUCAUAUUGUGGGUAACAAGGGAAUCUGGAAAUUGUUAUUAUUCCUAUUAUCAUCACCAUUAUGGAUUAUUUUGUUAUAAAGGCGAUAAUCAUUAACAGUGGGUGAGAAAAAAACUGGCAAUCCAUUCACUAAUAAUGAUGUUGUCGUCAAUGAUUAAGAUGAUGAUAAAAUGGCAAACUGAACAGACAAAGUCAAUAGUUAAUAAUCAUAAUAGUGUGCACUACCUUUAAUUCAUUAACUACUCUUUCAUUAGUAAAGUUUCUGGUCACAACAAACGCUUAUUUCUUAGACAUUGAAACAUACUUGAAACGCACUGACUGAUUUUUGAUGCUAAUAAUUGGUUAAAUUGUCGAUAAUAAUAUCAUCUCAAAAUGUGAUCAUGAUUAUUAGGAUGACGCUGGAAGGAAUCGUAUUUUGAAAUUUUAAAAAUAGCCAAAUAUUCACUGUUUCAACUGUGAUUUUUCAUUAUAACUUCAUGUGACCCUGAUAUGGAUAAGGAAUCAGCCAAUUAUGGACUUCAGAACUUAUAAAUUCCGUAUAUUUAUCCGCAACACAAUUAACUCUGAUUGCGUUGAUCAUCUUUUAAUUUGGGACAUCAGAGUCCAUUGGAAACAUUAGCUUCAAUGGAAAUAUUGGAUCCAUCUGUUAUUGACGACCAAAUCAGUGGCUACUUGUGUCCAGAUGAACAAAAUGAAUAACGAAUCAAUUUAUAUAAUUUUCAUUGGAGUUAUUGCUUCCCAUGUAAAGACUGUCAAGAGUCAACAACGAUAAUUAGCUUUAUUUAUAGUAAUAUGAUCAACUACAUCAAUCUUGAUAAUUUUGCUGAUAACAAACUUUAAUCAUUUUUAGCUUCAGGGUAAAGGUUUUCAUGGAUAUUAUUUUACAACCAGUGAUUUGAUGCAAUUUAAGAAACAAUAUCCUUUACCUGUGAUUCUGUAAAGUCUAACACUUAGCUGUACACCUUUGAUUAAGUGAGUUUCCACUCAUUAAUGAUCACUCAACAUGAUAUCCAAUAACUUCAUAGUACAAGAAUCACUUUUAAUUGAAGUUAAAAGUUCACAUAAAUAACUGGUUAACCCUUUAAAAUCUAGUCAAUUUAAACCUCUUAAACGGUUGCUUAUUUAUUUUGUAUUAUUUUGUAUUAUUAUCUCCCAAAUUGACUCAAUUUUCAUUUUUAAUCAUGUCAAGCCUUUCAAUAUUGCUGCUUCAUUAAUCAUAGAGUGACCAAGAAACAGGAACAUCUAAUUAUACAUUCAUUAUAAUUAUUUCAUUACAAGAUUAAA
Molecule: long non-coding RNA, 1956 nt
Organism: Tetranychus urticae (two-spotted spider mite)
Lineage: Eukaryota; Metazoa; Arthropoda; Arachnida; Trombidiformes; Tetranychidae
Source: RefSeq, a predicted model, not a curated record